Molecule: unclassified non-coding RNA, 308 nt
Filed under: Hevea brasiliensis (rubber tree)
Lineage: Eukaryota; Viridiplantae; Streptophyta; Magnoliopsida; Malpighiales; Euphorbiaceae
Source: RNAcentral
AAGAGAGAUGAGGCUGUUGCUUCUAGUGCAUCUGACUCGUUUAAUGAUUGGCUAAUUUCUGCACCCUUUCCUCUAAACUGAGACAGGAUCAUUGUCUCUGACGGAUUUCCCUCUGUUAAUGACUUGGAUUUCGAUGUUGUUUCUUCCAAGAGAGGUGAGGCCGUUGCUUCUAAUAAUGCAUAUGAUCUCUUGAAUGAUUGGCUAAAUUCUUCACUCUCCCCGCAUGGAGUAAAAAUGCCUUCCCAAGAGUUUCGCUCGGUGUUUUCCCAUUCCAAUAUAUCUUUCCACCAGCUCUCCUCACCCUUGAU